CACAUAACAAAUAGUUUUUUUAAGUCUCCAUUUCUGUAUUUUAAAACACCAGGUAUAUUACUAUAGCUUACAUAACAUAUAACCACCCAUUUAAAUUAUAUAAUGAAUUUGAUGAAUUUUACUAUACAGUUGUUCACCCACACAAUUGUUUUAUAAACAUUUAUGCCUCAUAUCCUUUGGUAAUUCCUGUUUCCCUUAUACCCUACUCCCAGCCAACCCUAGGAAACUACUGACUUAUUUUUUGCCGUCUAGACUUGCCUAGACAUUUCAUAUAUAUGGAAUUAUUCAGCAUCUAGCAUGUUGUGUUCCUCCUGCUUUAACCUUCUGAAAACAGGUGUACAGAUAUUUCCCAGACUCCUGUUGUACUCCUAGAAACAGCCCCGUACUGGACCUAUAGAGCUGCUGUUACAGACUUCGACACUCCAGGUCUCUUAAUGUGCACGAAAGCUAUCAGCAAUUUAUUCCUUCAGGAUAGCAGAGUUCCUCAAGCUUGGUCUCCCAGAUCAGAAGGUUGUUCUACUGCUGUAUUCUUGGGGAUAUUAUUCCCAAUUACUUCGUUUUUCAACUAUCACAUGUUCUAUAAUCAGCUUUAUUUUCCAUUUCUACCUUACUUUGUUAGAUCUUCUAUUUUUUACCAUUAUUGCCCCUUGUUUUAAAUUUUUAUUUAGUAUGUUAUUGACCAAAUUCAAUAUUCCUUUCUCUUCCUUUUGCUGUCUUUCUUUUAGCAGUUUUCUUCCAUUCACAUCUCUCUUCCAGCCUCCAGCAACAGCCUGCACAGUAGAUUCAGUGGAGUGGUGAAACAGGUCCUGGGAGAGGAUGGAGCUUCCCUUAGAAGGCUGUUAAUGAAGAUGAGGCUGUUAUCCCUGACAGGGAAUAAUUCUCCUCCUCCUCUUCUUUCUCCUCCUCCUUUUCUUCCUCCUCCUCUUCCUCCACCUCUUCCUCCUCCUCCAAAACAGAGUUUCUCUGUGUAGUCCUGACUGUCUGGAAGUCACUCUAUAGACCAGGCUAGUCACAAACUCAGAGAUUUACUUGCCUUUGCCUCCUAAGUUCUAGGAUCAAAGGAGUGUACCACCACUGCCCAACUAGGAGAGUUACUCUUUUGUCCUCCAUGUACUAUUUGAUCAGAUCAACUCCCAGGUUGCUUAACACAAAAAUGACUUUGUAAGCUCACUUGAAAGAACAAGGAAGAACAGAUCCAGGAUUGUAGCAUCAAUGUCUCGGGUGAUGAAACAGGCACCAAUAGAAAGAAUUCUGAGAGAAGUGUUUAUCCUCACCUCAGGCUUAGAGUCAUUCACUGUGCCUCUGGGCAGAGGAUAACUGGUUGGUGAAAGUAGCGGUUAAAUAGAUAUUUAACUCUUUUGUUGA
This is a non-coding RNA of Cricetulus griseus (Chinese hamster), 1365 nucleotides long. The record is from RefSeq and is a predicted model, not a curated record. Lineage: Eukaryota; Metazoa; Chordata; Mammalia; Rodentia; Cricetidae.